AGCAGCGUGGCUGAGUGGAAAGAGCACGGGCUUUAGAGUCUGAGAUCAUGGGUUCGAAUCCCGGCUCUGCCA
This 72-nucleotide transfer RNA is filed under the name Ornithorhynchus anatinus (platypus). It matches the Rfam family "tRNA". Rfam says of the family: Transfer RNA (tRNA) molecules are approximately 80 nucleotides in length. Lineage: Eukaryota; Metazoa; Chordata; Mammalia; Monotremata; Ornithorhynchidae. The record is from Rfam by way of RNAcentral.